GGACUACCCGGGUAUCUAAUCCUGUUUGAUACCCACACUUUCGUGCUUCAGUGUCAGAGCCGGUACGGUAUGCUGCCUACGCUAUCGGUGUUCUUCGUGAUAUCUAUGCAUUUCACCGCUACACCACGAAUUCCGCAUACCCCCGCCGGUCUCAAGUCUGACAGUUUCAACGGCAAGCUUAUCGUUAAGCGACAAGUUUUCACCGCUGACUUACCAAACAACCUACGCACCCUUUAAACCCAAUAAAUCCGGAUAACGCUCGCAUCCUCCGUAUUACCGCGGCUGCUGGCAC
Molecule: ribosomal RNA, 292 nt
Filed under: uncultured Bacteroidota bacterium
Lineage: Bacteria; Pseudomonadati; Bacteroidota
Description: uncultured Bacteroidetes bacterium partial 16S ribosomal RNA
Source: RNAcentral